This 586-nucleotide ribosomal RNA is filed under the name uncultured bacterium. RNAcentral's name for it is "bacterial SSU rRNA". It matches the Rfam family "Bacterial small subunit ribosomal RNA", at positions 338 to 915 of the family's 1533-position model. The record is from RNAcentral.
CCUACGGGAGGCAGCAGUAGGGAAUCUUCCGCAAUGGACGAAAGUCUGACGGAGCAACGCCGCGUGAACGAUGAAGGCCUUCGGGUCGUAAAGUUCUGUUGUUAGGGAAGAACAAGUGCUAGUUAAAUAAGCCGGCACCUUGACGGUACCUAACCAGAAAGCCACGGCUAACUACGUGCCAGCAGCCGCGGUAAUACGUAGGUGGCAAGCGUUGUCCGGAAUUAUUGGGCGUAAAGCGCGCGCAGGCGGUUUCUUAAGUCUGAUGUGAAAGCCCCCGGCUCAACCGGGGAGGGUCAUUGGAAACUGGGAAACUUGAGUGCAGAAGAGGAAAGUGGAAUUCCAAGUGUAGCGGUGAAAUGCGUAGAGAUUUGGAGGAACACCAGUGGCGAAGGCGACUUUCUGGUCUGUAACUGACGCUGAGGCGCGAAAGCGUGGGGAGCAAACAGGAUUAGAUACCCUGGUAGUCCACGCUGUAAACGAUGAGUGCUAAGUGUUAGAGGGUUUCCGCCCUUUAGUGCUGAAGUUAACGCAUUAAGCACUCCGCCUGGGGAUACGGUCGCAAGACUGAAACUCAAAGGAAUUGACG